Molecule: ribosomal RNA, 485 nt
Filed under: Salmonella enterica subsp. enterica
Lineage: Bacteria; Pseudomonadati; Pseudomonadota; Gammaproteobacteria; Enterobacterales; Enterobacteriaceae
Description: partial 23S ribosomal RNA
Rfam family: Bacterial large subunit ribosomal RNA
Source: RNAcentral
GGCAGUCAGAGGCGAUGAAGGACGUGCUAAUCUGCGAUAAGCGCCGGUAAGGUGAUAUGAACCGUUAUAACCGGCGAUUUCCGAAUGGGGAAACCCAGUGUGAUUCGUCACACUAUCAUUAACUGAAUCCAUAGGUUAAUGAGGCGAACCGGGGGAACUGAAACAUCUAAGUACCCCGAGGAAAAGAAAUCAACCGAGAUUCCCCCAGUAGCGGCGAGCGAACGGGGAGGAGCCCAGAGCCUGAAUCAGCAUGUGUGUUAGUGGAAGCGUCUGGAAAGGCGCGCGAUACAGGGUGACAGCCCCGUACACAAAAGCGCAUGUGCUGUGAGCUCGAUGAGUAGGGCGGGACACGUGGUAUCCUGUCUGAAUAUGGGGGGACCAUCCUCCAAGGCUAAAUACUCCUGACUGACCGAUAGUGAACCAGUACCGUGAGGGAAAGGCGAAAAGAACCCCGGCGAGGGGAGUGAAAAAGAACCUGAAACCGU